RNAcentral lists this ribosomal RNA (2116 nucleotides) under Brevundimonas sp. RNAcentral's name for it is "partial 23S ribosomal RNA". It matches the Rfam family "Bacterial large subunit ribosomal RNA", at positions 686 to 2925 of the family's 2925-position model. Lineage: Bacteria; Pseudomonadati; Pseudomonadota; Alphaproteobacteria; Caulobacterales; Caulobacteraceae. The record is from RNAcentral.
AAUAGGGCGCUAAGUUCGACGUAUGACGACCCGAAACUAGGUGAUCUAUCCAUGAGCAGGAUGAAGGUUGGGUAACACCAACUGGAGGUCCGAACCCGUGAAUGUUGAAAAAUUCUGGGAUGACUUGUGGAUAGGGGUGAAAGGCCAAUCAAACCUAGACAUAGCUGGUUCUCCGCGAAAUCUAUUUAGGUAGAGCGUCCGACGAAUUCCCUGGGGGGUAGAGCACUGGAUGGUUGCGGGCUGCGCGAGCGGUACCAAUACUAACCAAACUCCGAAUACCCAGGAGAACUAUCGGGCAGACACACGGCGGGUGCUAACGUCCGUCGUGAAAAGGGAAACAACCCUAACCAUCAUCUAAGGCCCCCAAGUACUGGCUAAGUGGGAAACGAUGUGGGAUUGCUUUGACAAUCAGGAGGUUGGCUUAGAAGCAGCCAUCCUUUAAAGAAAGCGUAACAGCUCACUGAUCAAGCGAUCCUGCGCGGAAAAUGUAACGGGGCUCAAGCCAGUCGCCGAAGGUAUGGGUUUGCAGUUUACUGCAAGCGGUAGCGGAGCGUUCCGUAAGCCGGUGAAGGUCAGGCGUGAGCCUGGCUGGAGGUAUCGGAAGUGAGAAUGCUGACAUGAGUAACGAUAAACAGUGUGAGAAACACUGUCGCCGAAAGACCAAGGGUUCCUGCGUAAAGCUAAUCUGCGCAGGGUUAGUCGGCCCCUAAGGCGAGGCUGAAAAGCGUAGUCGAUGGGAAGCAGGUAAAUAUUCCUGCACCAGCUAGAAGUGACGGAUGGCGUAAGUUGUCGGGGCUUAUUGGAUUGUCCCGGCAGCGAAGUUGUCCCUGGAAAUAACUCUAGCAGAGACCGUACCCGAAACCGACACAGGUGGUCAGGUAGAGCAUACCAAGGCGCUUGAGAGAACUGUGCUGAAGGAACUCGGCAAAUUGCACGCGUAACUUCGGAAUAAGCGUGACUCACCUAGCGCAAGCUAGACUGAGUGGCACAAGCCAGGGGGUAGCGACUGUUUAGCAAAAACACAGGGCUCUGCGAAGCAGCAAUGCGACGUAUAGGGUCUGACGCCUGCCCGGUGCCUGAAGGUUAAAGGGAGUUGUGAAAGCGACGAACUGAAGCCCAGGUAAACGGCGGCCGUAACUAUAACGGUCCUAAGGUAGCGAAAUUCCUUGUCGGGUAAGUUCCGACCUGCACGAAUGGCGUAACGACUUCCCCACUGUCUCCAGCACAGGCUCAGUGAAAUUGAAUUCCCCGUGAAGAUGCGGGGUUCCCGCGGUCAGACGGAAAGACCCUAUGAACCUUUACUAUAGCUUCGCCUUGGCGUUAGCGACCGUAUGUGUAGGAUAGGUGGGAGACUAUGAAACCGGGGCGCCAGCUCUGGUGGAGUCAUCCUUGAAAUACCACCCUUACUGUCGUUGACGUCUAACCGAGGGCCGUUAUCCGGUCCCGGGACAUGGCGUGGUGGGUAGUUUGACUGGGGCGGUCGCCUCCUAAAGUGUAACGGAGGCGCGCGAUGGUGAGCUCAGAGCGGUCGGAAAUCGCUCGUCGAGUGCAAUGGCAUAAGCUCGCCUGACUGCGAGACUGACAAGUCGAGCAGAGACGAAAGUCGGCCAUAGUGAUCCGGUGGUCCCGCGUGGAAGGGCCAUCGCUCAACGGAUAAAAGGUACUCUAGGGAUAACAGGCUGAUUUUGCCCAAGAGUCCAUAUCGACGGCAAAGUUUGGCACCUCGAUGUCGGCUCAUCACAUCCUGGGGCUGGAGCAGGUCCCAAGGGUAUGGCUGUUCGCCAUUUAAAGUGGUACGUGAGCUGGGUUCAGAACGUCGUGAGACAGUUUGGUCCCUAUCUGCCGUGGGUGUUCGAAGCUUGAGAGGAUCUGUCCCUAGUACGAGAGGACCGGGAUGGACAUACCUCUGGUGGACCUGUCAUGACGCCAGUUGUGCAGCAGGGUAGCUAUGUAUGGAAUAGAUAACCGCUGAAAGCAUCUAAGCGGGAAACUAACCUCAAAACAAGGCUUCGCUGAGGAUCGUGGAAGACUACCACGUUGAUAGGCCAGGUGUGGAAGUGGGGCGACCCAUGAAGCUUACUGGUACUAAUAAUCCGAUCGGCUUGAUCGUUUCUCA